This 398-nucleotide ribosomal RNA is filed under the name Danio albolineatus (pearl danio). Its description in RNAcentral is "partial 12S small subunit ribosomal RNA". It matches the Rfam family "Microsporidia small subunit ribosomal RNA", at positions 752 to 1206 of the family's 1311-position model. The record is from RNAcentral. Lineage: Eukaryota; Metazoa; Chordata; Actinopteri; Cypriniformes; Danionidae.
AAACAAAGACAUUAAAAUACAACAAUGUUCGCCAGGACACUACAAGCAUAAGCUUAAAACCCAAAGGACCUGACGGUGCCUUAGAUCCCCCUAGAGGAGCCUGUUCUAGAACCGAUUAUCCCCGUUAAACCUCACCAUUUCUAGUAAUAUCAGCCUAUAUACCACCGUCGCCAGCUUACCCUGUGAAGGUAAAACAGUAAGCAAAAUGGGUAUAACCCAAUAAGUCAGGUCGAGGUGUAGCACAUGAAAUGGGAAGAAAUGGGCUACAUUUUCUAUUAAUAGAAUAUAACGAAUAUGUAACAUGAAAUAAUACUUGAAGGAGGAUUUAGUAGUAAAAGAGAAAUAGAGUGUCUCUUUGAACCCGGCUCUAAGGCGCGUACACACCGCCCGUCACCCUC